CUACCACAUCCAAGGAAGGCAGCAGGCGCGCAAAUUACCCAUUCCUGGCUCGGGGAGGUAGUGACGAAAAAUAACGAUACGGGACUCUUUUGAGGCCCCGUAAUUGGAAUGAGUACGCAGUAAAUCCUCUAACGAGGACCCACUGGAGAGCAAGUCUGGUGCCAGCAGUCGCGNUAACUCCAGCUCCAGUAGCGUAUAUUAAAGUUGCUGCGGUUAAAAAGCUCGUAGUUGGAUCUCAGUUCUGGUCGGGCGGUCCGUUUCACGACGGUCACCGCCCGUUCCCGGGCAGCGUUGCCGGUUUCCCUCGAUGAUCUUCAUCGGUUGUCUUGGGUUUAUCGGCUGUUUUACUUUGAAAAAAUUAGAGUGCUCAAAGCAGGCAGUGGGAGCCUGAAUAUCGGUGCAUGGAAUAAUGGAAUAGGACCUCGGUUCUAUUUUGUUGGUUUGCGGAUCACGAGGAAAAUGAUUAAGAGGUACAAACGGGGGCAUUGGUAUUGCGGCGCUAGAGGUGAAAUUCUUGGACCGUCGCAAGACUAACGACAGCGAAAGCAUUUGCCAAGGAUGUUUCCAUUAAUCAAGAACGAAAGUCAGAGGUUCGAAGGCGAUCAGAUACCGCCCUAGUUCUGACCAUAAACUAUGCCAGCCAACAAUCAGGCUGCGUUCCUCAAAUGGCGCGCCUGGCAGCCUCCGGGAAACCAAAGCCUUUGGGUUCCGGGGGAAGUAUGGUU
This 725-nucleotide ribosomal RNA is filed under the name Epigastrina fulva. RNAcentral's name for it is "bacterial SSU rRNA". It matches the Rfam family "Eukaryotic small subunit ribosomal RNA", at positions 407 to 1130 of the family's 1831-position model. Lineage: Eukaryota; Metazoa; Arthropoda; Arachnida; Araneae; Micropholcommatidae. The record is from RNAcentral.